GGUUGGGAAAGUUCUAGCAUAUGCCUAUAAUGGGAUUCUAUUGUGCCAUAAAAAGUGACAAACAAGAUGACCACACACACACAAGCAAUCUGUAAAGACUUAUAUGAAUUGAUGCAAAGUGAAGAACCAGGAGAACAUUGUACACAGUAACAGCGAUAAGGAUUUUCACACAGGUUAAAAAAAUCUCCUGGAAGGAUUUUUGAAAGAGAACUUGAAUAGUUUGCUUUUUGUAUGACAAGGGUUACCAAAAAAAGAUAAAUGGCAUCUUCAGCUGCAUUAUUAAAGUCUUUAUUAAACUUUUAGAAAAAAAGAACUUCUGUAAAAUGGGAGAAAAAGCAAAAAGAAAGAAAGAAAGAGGGACUUCUGGUCAAGAUGGUGGCUUAGAGGCAGUGAAAGUUCAGACCUCUGAAAACCCUUCCUUACCAGUCACAAACUGAAUGCUCCCAGGACACCAAAAUUCAAACUGAACAACAGGACAGACCUGGGGAACCCUCCUCCUGGACCUGGAUCAAAAGGGUCCAGCUCUCCAAACAGCAGUUUUGCCUCCAUGGAUCGUUGCUGGUUGUCACAAUGAUUCUAAGACAACGUCUUGGUGCAGGCUAAUGGCAAAAAGUGGAACUAUGAAGGUGAUGGCAAAAUGUCAACAAAUGAAGAGCUUGAGCCAUAUUAAUCCAGCUAAAUAUGAUUUUGACCAUCUUUUGCUCUUUCGAAUCUGCUGGCAUGCAAAAGCUGAUUGAUAGAUUUGGUUGGUUGAUGACAUAUUGUUUCUUGACCUGAAUGCCCCCUACUGAGGUCCAGAGUGAGUUCAAGUUUCUAGGUAAUGCCUUUAAAUAUUAGAAUGGGGAAAAGUCUCAUGGAAUUCUAUAAUGUCACUGACCACACAC
RNAcentral lists this long non-coding RNA (884 nucleotides) under Monodelphis domestica (gray short-tailed opossum). RNAcentral describes it as "lncRNA (ENSMODG00000048287.1)". Lineage: Eukaryota; Metazoa; Chordata; Mammalia; Didelphimorphia; Didelphidae. The record is from RNAcentral.